This 495-nucleotide ribosomal RNA is filed under the name uncultured bacterium. RNAcentral's name for it is "partial 16S ribosomal RNA". It matches the Rfam family "Bacterial small subunit ribosomal RNA", at positions 28 to 507 of the family's 1533-position model. The record is from RNAcentral.
GACGAACGCUGGCGGCGUGCCUAAUACAUGCAAGUAGAACGCUGAAGGAGGGGCUUGCUCUUCUGGAUGAGUUGCGAACGGGUGAGUAACGCGUAGGUAACCUGCCUGGUAGCGGGGGAUAACUAUUGGAAACGAUAGCUAAUACCGCAUAACAGUAGAUGUUGCAUGACAUUUACUUAAAAGGUGCAAUUGCAUCACUACCAGAUGGACCUGCGUUGUAUUAGCUAGUUGGUGGGGUAACGGCUCACCAAGGCGACGAUACAUAGCCGACCUGAGAGGGUGAUCGGCCACACUGGGACUGAGACACGGCCCAGACUCCUACGGGAGGCAGCAGUAGGGAAUCUUCGGCAAUGGACGGAAGUCUGACCGAGCAACGCCGCGUGAGUGAAGAAGGUUUUCGGAUCGUAAAGCUCUGUUGUAAGAGAAGAACGAGUGUGAGAGUGGAAAGUUCACACUGUGACGGUAUCUUACCAGAAAGGGACGGCUAACUACGUG